UCUUCGGCAAUGGACGAAAGUCUGACCGAGCAACGCCGCGUGAGCGAAGAAGGUUUUCGGACCGUAAAACUCUGUUGUUAGAGAAGAAUGUUGAUUAGAGUGGAAAAUUAAUCAAGUGACGGUAUCUAACCAGAAAGUGACGGCUAACUACGUGCCAGCAGCCGCGGUAAUACGUAGGUCCCGGGCGUUGUUCGGAUUUAUUGGGCGUAAAGCGAGCGCAGGUGGUUUAAUAAGUCUGAUGUAAAAGGCAGUGGCUGAGCCAUUGUGUGCAUUGGAAACUGUUAGACUUGAGUGCAGUAGAGGAGAGUGGAAUUCCAUGUGUAGCGGUGAAAUGCGUAGAUAUAUGGAGGAACACCGGUGGCGAAAGCGGCUCUCUGGACUGUCACUGACACUGAGGCUCGAAAGCGUGGGUAGCAAACAGG
This 422-nucleotide ribosomal RNA is filed under the name uncultured bacterium. RNAcentral describes it as "bacterial SSU rRNA". It matches the Rfam family "Bacterial small subunit ribosomal RNA", at positions 362 to 776 of the family's 1533-position model. The record is from RNAcentral.